GGUGUUGGACAUGAUGGCCCUUGGGGGUCCCUUCCUCCUCAGGAUAUUCUGAUUGCUGAACUGCUCUUACAGCUUUUCAAAACAUUCCUACUUGUUCUUUGCUGCAUCUGUUUGAAAGUGUCUUGAAGAUGAAGUUAUUUCCUGGAGGAAUUCUGGACAUCAUUUUUUGCCUUUUUGUCUCUCUGGGGAUUCUCAAGAAGGAAAGAAAACUAUGGUGUUACUGCUGGGAGGAUUCUUCCUGAUCAUUUGGGAAUCCAUUCUGGAAGCUUGAUCCAAAUGACAGCUGCCUCCAUUUACCACUCGACACAUUGCUGUGGGUAUUUGGUUACAAUCAAGACUGGAGGUGUGAUUACAGUCUAAAGUACCAGCAAGGAAACCUCAAAUGGUUCAGGCUAAAGCAAGCACGGGUGCAGGACAACCAGGAUGGGUCUGUCAUUCUGGUUUGCUGCACUGAAGUGAGACUGUGAGCUCUCUGAAGGAUGGGAUGUCUCCUCAUGCUCCCUCGCUGAAAGUCAGAGCCUCUGUCACAGGAAGCCAUGAGCACAGAGCAUGAGCCAGGAAUACUUGCUUGGCCCACAGUAAAGCAGCGCCUGCAGCAAGCCAGCAGAGAAACAUCCCAAGAUACAGAUUUGAUUACACAGAAGCUGAAUUUCAGAAUCACCUGAGCACCCAGCAUCUUUCUUUCUGCACCUGCUGUCAGUGAGGCCACUCUCUAUUAAGGUUUCAAGACAUACAAUCUAAAUAUCCUUACUAGAUGUGCCCAUUAAAAAAUAAAAGAGUGUCUUAUUCAUAGAUGAAUUAUUAA
RNAcentral lists this long non-coding RNA (805 nucleotides) under Coturnix japonica (Japanese quail). RNAcentral describes it as "lncRNA (ENSCJPG00005011471.1)". Lineage: Eukaryota; Metazoa; Chordata; Aves; Galliformes; Phasianidae. The record is from RNAcentral.